UACGUAGGAGGCGAGCGUUGUCCGGAGUUACUGGGCGUAAAGCGCGCGCAGGCGGUCAGAUUAGUCUGUCGUGACAGUCGUCGGCUCAACUGACGAAGUACGAUGGAAACUGUCUGACUUGAGGGCUUCAGAGGGACACGGAAUUCCGGGUGGAGUGGUGAAAUGCGUAGAUAUCCGGAGGAACACCAAAGGCGAAGGCAGUGUCCUGGGAAGUACCGUGACGCUCAGGUGCGAAAGCUAGGGGAGCGAACAGG
Molecule: ribosomal RNA, 254 nt
Filed under: uncultured bacterium
Lineage: Bacteria
Description: partial 16S ribosomal RNA
Rfam family: Bacterial small subunit ribosomal RNA
Source: RNAcentral